UGGAUCGAUGAGGAUAAAUGCCAGGGUGUGAGUCAUCAAUGACGACUACUACGUGUCUGGAACUCUGAGGUCAAA
This is a small nucleolar RNA of Hippopotamus amphibius kiboko, 75 nucleotides long. RefSeq annotates it as small nucleolar RNA SNORD113/SNORD114 family. The record is from RefSeq and is a predicted model, not a curated record. NCBI's taxonomy places the organism in Eukaryota, Metazoa, Chordata, Mammalia, Artiodactyla, Hippopotamidae. The transcript has a single exon.